RNAcentral lists this ribosomal RNA (811 nucleotides) under uncultured marine bacterium. Its description in RNAcentral is "bacterial SSU rRNA". It matches the Rfam family "Bacterial small subunit ribosomal RNA", at positions 86 to 935 of the family's 1533-position model. The record is from RNAcentral.
CAAUACUUAGUGGCAGACGGGUGAGUAACAUGUAGGUAUCUGCCCUUUGGCCUGGAAUAACACGAGGAAACUUGUGCUAAUACUGGGUAAGUCUUUACGGAGAAAGCUUUAUGCACCAUUGGAUGAGCCUGCACUUGAUUAGUUUGUUGGUGGGGUAAUGGCCUACCAAGACUGUGAUCAAUAGCUGAUUUGAGAGGAUGAUCAGCCACAUUGGGACUGAGACACGGCCCAAACUCCUACGGGAGGCAGCAGUGGGGAAUCUUGCACAAUGGAGGAAACUCUGAUGCAGCGAUGCCGCGUGAGUGAAGAAGGCCCUUGGGUUGUAAAGCUCUUUCGUCGGGGAAGAAAAUGACUGUACCCGAAUAAGAAGGUCCGGCUAACUUCGUGCCAGCAGCCGCGGUAAUACGAAGGGACCUAGCGUAGUUCGGAAUUACUGGGCUUAAAGAGUUCGUAGGUGGUUGAAAAAGUUGGUGGUGAAAUCCCAGAGCUUAACUCUGGAACUGCCAUCAAAACUUUUCAGCUAGAGUAUGAUAGAGGAAAGCAGAAUUUCUAGUGUAGAGGUGAAAUUCGUAGAUAUUAGAAAGAAUACCAAUUGCGAAGGCAGCUUUCUGGAUCAUUACUGACACUGAGGAACGAAAGCAUGGGUAGCGAAGAGGAUUAGAUACCCUCGUAGUCCAUGCCGUAAACGAUGUGUGUUAGACGUUGGAAAUUUAUUUUCAGUGUCGCAGCGAAAGCGAUAAACACACCGCCUGGGGAGUACGACCGCAAGGUUAAACUCAAAUGAAUUGACGGGGACCCGCACAAGUAGUGG